RNAcentral lists this ribosomal RNA (460 nucleotides) under uncultured bacterium. RNAcentral describes it as "partial 16S ribosomal RNA". It matches the Rfam family "Bacterial small subunit ribosomal RNA", at positions 338 to 795 of the family's 1533-position model. The record is from RNAcentral.
CCUACGGGCGGCAGCAGUGAGGAAUAUUGGUCAAUGGACGAGAGUCUGAACCAGCCAAGUAGCGUGAAGGAUGACUGCCCUAGGGGUUGAAAACUUCUUUUACAUGGGAAUAAAACAGGGUAUGCAUACACUCUUGUAUGUACCAUAUGAGUAAGGAAAGGCUAACUCAGUGCCAGCAGCCGCGGUAAUACGGAGGAUCCGAGCGUUAUCCGGAUUUAUUGGGUUUAAAGGGAGCGUAGGUGGAUUGUUAAGUCAGUUGUGAAAGUUUGCGGCUCAACCGUAAAAAUGCAGUUGAAACUGGCAGUCUUGAGUACAGUAGAGGUGAGCGGAAUUCGUGGUGUAGCGGUGAAAUGCUUAGAUAUCACGAAGAACUCCGAUUGCGAAGGCAGCUCACUGGACUGCAACUGACACUGAUGCUCGAAAGUGUGGGUAUCAAACAGGAUUAGAUACCCGAGUAGUC